GGGCUUCUGCUCUUCCCGCGUAUGGCCAAAUUUCCACUGGCCUAUAAGUUUUCCGAGGGCGCUGGCUCUGUCGUGACCCUGGUCACGUUACCCGGUGCCCACCUGAUAUAUCAGGCUUUCGGGAAAUCUGUCGCCGUCGCGGUCGCUGCGGUUCCCGC
RNAcentral lists this small RNA (158 nucleotides) under Stutzerimonas stutzeri. RNAcentral's name for it is "Pseudomonas stutzeri 6S / SsrS RNA". Lineage: Bacteria; Pseudomonadati; Pseudomonadota; Gammaproteobacteria; Pseudomonadales; Pseudomonadaceae. The record is from RNAcentral.